UACGUAGGGUGCAAGCGUUAAUCGGAAUUACUGGGCGUAAAGCGUGCGCAGGCGGCUUUGCAAGACAGAUGUGAAAUCCCCGGGCUUAACCUGGGAACUGCAUUUGGGACUGCAAGGCUUGAGUGCGGCAGAGGAGACUGGAAUUCCUGGUGUAGCAGUGAAAUGCGUAGAUAUCAGGAGGAAUACCGAUGGCGAAGGCAGGUCUCUGGGCUGACACUGACGCUCAUGCACGAAAGCGUGGGGAGCAAACAGG
RNAcentral lists this ribosomal RNA (253 nucleotides) under uncultured bacterium. RNAcentral describes it as "partial 16S ribosomal RNA". It matches the Rfam family "Bacterial small subunit ribosomal RNA", at positions 524 to 776 of the family's 1533-position model. The record is from RNAcentral.